Molecule: ribosomal RNA, 253 nt
Filed under: uncultured bacterium
Lineage: Bacteria
Description: partial 16S ribosomal RNA
Rfam family: Bacterial small subunit ribosomal RNA
Source: RNAcentral
UACGGAGGGUGCAAGCGUUGUUCGGAAUCAUUGGGCGUAAAGCGCGUGUAGGCGGCCAAUUAAGUCUGAUGUGAAAGCCCGGGGCUCAACCCCGGAAGGGCAUUGGAUACUGGCUGGCUAGAGGACGAGAGAGGGAAGCGGAAUUCCUGGUGUAGGGGUGAAAUCCGUAGAUAUCAGGAGGAACAUCGGUGGCGAAGGCGGCUUCCUGGCUCGUUACUGACGCUGAGACGCGAAAGCGUGGGGAGCAAACAGG